UUCUCCGCCUAGAGCAGAGCUGCAGUCGAGCGCACUGGCCCAACUGAUAUGACGUGCUUGCACUGAUUUGACGAUGGAUUACCAGUGAGCGGCGGACGGGUGAGUAACACGUGGGCAACCUGCCCUGGAGCGGGGGAUAACAUUUGGAAACAGAUGCUAAUACCGCAUAAUAAUCAAAACCACAUGGUUUUGAUUUCAAAGAUGGCUUCGGCUAUCACUCCAGGAUGGGCCCGCGGUGCAUUAGCUAGUUGGUAAGGUAACGGCUUACCAAGGCGAUGAUGCAUAGCCGAGUUGAGAGACUGAUCGGCCACAAUGGAACUGAGACACGGUCCAUACUCCUACGGGAGGCAGCAGUAGGGAAUCUUCCACAAUGGGCGCAAGCCUGAUGGAGCAACACCGCGUGAGUGAAGAAGGGUUUCGGCUCGUAAAACUCUGUUGUUGAAGAAGAACGUGCGUGAGAGUAACUGUUCAUGCAGUGACGGUAUUCAACCAGAAAGUCACGGCUAACUACGUGCCAGCAGCCGCGGUAAUACGUAGGUGGCAAGCGUUAUCCGGAUUUAUUGGGCGUAAAGCGAGCGCAGGCGGUUACUUAAGUCUGAUGUGAAAGCCUUCGGCUUAACCGAAGAAGUGCAUCGGAAACUGGGUGACUUGAGUGCAGAAGAGGACAGUGGAACUCCAUGUGUAGCGGUGGAAUGCGUAGAUAUAUGGAAGAACACCAGUGGCGAAAGCGGCUGUCUGGUCUGCAACUGACGCUGAGCUCGAAAGCAUGGGUAGCGAACAGGAUUAGAUACCCUGGUAGUCCAUGCCGUAAACGAUGAGUGCUAGGUGUUGGAGGGUUUCCGCCCUUCAGUGCCGGAGCUAACGCAUUAAGCACUCCGCCUGGGGAGUACGACCGCAAGGUUGAAACUCAAAGGAAUUUGACGGGGGCCCGCCACAAAGCGGUGGAGCAUGUGGUUUUAAUUCGAAGCUACGCGAGAACCUUACCAGGUCCUUGACAUUCUUUGGCGCUAACUUAAGAGGAUUAAGGCGUUCCCCUUCGGGGACGCCAUUGACAGUGUGCAUUGUUCGUCGUCCGCUCCGGUCCUGGAGAAUGUUGGGUAGGUCCGCACGAAGCAACCUGUUACUAGUGCCAGACAUUCAGGUGGAACCUUAUGUGUGGGAACUUGCUGGGUACCUAUACCAGGUAGUAAUGGGUGCGCCAU
RNAcentral lists this ribosomal RNA (1202 nucleotides) under Limosilactobacillus pontis. Its description in RNAcentral is "bacterial SSU rRNA". It matches the Rfam family "Bacterial small subunit ribosomal RNA", at positions 1 to 1165 of the family's 1533-position model. The record is from RNAcentral. Lineage: Bacteria; Bacillati; Bacillota; Bacilli; Lactobacillales; Lactobacillaceae.